AGACUUCGCAAGGGAUAUCUCGGCUCUCGCAUCGAUGAAGAACGUAGCGAAAUGCGAUACUGGUGUGAAUUGCAGAAUCCCGCGAACCAUCGAGUCUUUGAACGCAAGUUGCGCCCGAGGCCACUCGGCCGAGGGCACGCCUGCCUGGGCGUCACGCCAAAACACGCUCCCAACCCCUCAUCGGGAAUCGGGACGCGGCAUCUGGUCCCUCGUCUCGCAAGGGGCGGUGGACCGAAGAUCGGGCUGCGGUGUACCGCGCCGGACACAGCGAUGUGGGGCGUCCUCGCUUUAUCAACGCAGUGCAUCCGACGCGCAGCGACAUUAUGGCCUCAGAACGACCCAGCAAACGAAGCGCACGUUGCUUCGACCGCGACCCCAGGUCAGGCGGGACUACCCGCUGAGUUUAAGCAUAUAAAUAAGCGGAGGAGAAGAAACUUACAAGGAUUCCCCUAGUAAGGGCGAGCGAACGGGGAGCAGCCAGCUUGAGAAUCGGGCGGCUGUGCCGUCCGAAUUGUAGUUCUGGAGAGGCGUCUUCAGCGACGGACCGGGCCAAGUCCCCUGGAAAGGGGCGCCUGGGAGGGUGAGAGCCCGUCCGGCCGGACGCCCUGUCGCCCCACGAGGCGCCGUCAACGAGUCGGGUUGUUUGGAAUGCAGCCAAAUCGGGCGGUAGACUCCGUCCAAGGCUAAAUACAGGCGAGAGACCGAUAGCGGAACAAGUACGCGAGGGAAAGAUGAAAAGGACUUUGAAAGAGAGUCAAAGAGUGCUUGAAAUUGCCGGGAGGGAAGCGGAUGGGGGCCGGCGAUGCGCCGCGCCGUAUGCGGAACGGCUCUUGCUGGUCCGCCGCUCGGCUCGGGGUGUGGACUGUUGUCGCGCGCGCGGCGGCCAAAGCCCGGGGGCCUAGGUGCCCCCGGUGGCGUCGUCGGGCCGGUACCGCCGCGCGCGCCGAAAGGCGUGUCCCUCGGGGCACUGCGCUGCAAGGCCUGCGGGCUCCCCAUCGACCCGUCUUGAAACACGGACCAAGGAGUCUGACAUGCGUGCGAGUCGACGGGUUCUGAACUGUGGAUGCGCAAGGAGACUGACGAGCGGAGGCCCUCACGGGCCGCACCGCUGGCCGACCCUGAUCUUCUGUGAAGGGUUCGAGUUGGAGCACGCCUGUCGGGACCGAAAGAUGGUGAACUAUGCCUGAGCGGGGCGAGACAGAGGAAACUCUGGUGGAGGCUCGAAGCGAUACUGACGUGCAAAUGUUCGUCUGACUUGGGUAUAGGGGCGAAAGACUAAUCGAACCAUCUAGUAGCUGGUUCCCUCCGAAGUUUCCUCAGGAUAGCUGGAGCCCAUUACGAGUUCUAUCAGGUAAAGCCAAUGAUUAGAGGCAUUGGGGACGCAACGUCCUCGACCUAUUCUCAAACUUUAAAUAGGUAGGAUGGUGCGGCUGCUUCGGUGAGCCGUGCCACGGAAUCGGGUGCUCCAAGUGGGCCAUUUUUGGUAAGCAGAACUGGCGAUGCGGGAUGAACCGGAAGCCGGGUUACGGUGCCCAACUGCGCGCUAACCUAGAACCCACAAAGGGUGUUGGUCGAUUAAGACAGCAGGACGGUGGUCAUGGAAGUCGAAAUCCGCUAAGGAGUGUGUAAACUCACCUGCCGAAUCAACUAGCCCGAAAAUGGAUGGCGCUGAAGCGCGCGACCACACCCGGCAUCUGGGCGAGCGCCAUGCCCCGAUGAGUAGGAGGGCGCGGCGGCCGCUGCAAAACCGGGGCGCGAGCCCGGGCGGAGCGGCCGUCGGUGCAGAUCUUGGUGGUAGUAGCAAAUAUUCAAAUGAGAACUUUGAAGGCCGAAGAGGAGAAAGGUUCCAUGUGAACGGCACUUGCACAUGGGUAAGCGAUCCUAAGGACGGGGUAACCCCGGCAGAUAGCGCGAUCACGCGCAUCCCCGAAAGGGAAUCGGUUUAAGAUUUCCCGAGCCGGGAUGUGGGCGGUUGACGGCGACGUUAGGAAGUCCGGAGACGCCGGCGGGGGCCUCGGGAAGAGUUAUUUUUUCUGCUUAACGGCCUGCAACCCUGGAAACGGUUCAGCCGGAGGUAGGGUCCAGUGGCCGGAAGAGCACGCACGUCGCGCGGUGUCCGGUGCGCCCCGCGGCCCAUGAAAAUCCGGAGGACCGAGUACCGUUCACGCCGUUCGUACUCAUAACCGCAUCAGGUUCCAAGGUGAACAGCCUCUGGCCAAUGGAACAAUGUAGGCAAGGGAAGUCGGCAAAACGGAUCCGUAACUUCGGGAAAAGGAUUGGCUCUGAGGACUGGGCUCGGGGGUCCCGGCCGACGACCGUCGGCUGUCGGGGAUUGCUCGGAUGCUCACGCGGCGAGAGCGGGUGCCGCGUGCCGGCCGGGGACGGACCGGGAAUCGCCCUUCGGGGGCUUUCCGAGCAUGAACAGUCGACUCAGACUGGUACGGACAAGGGGAUAUCGACUGUUUAAUUAAAACAAAGCAUUGCGAUGGUCCUCGGGAUGCUGACGCAAUGUGAUUUCUGCCCAGUGCUCUGAAUGUCAAAGUGAAGAAAUUCAACCAAGCGGCGGUAAACGGCGGGAGUAACUAUGACUCUCUUAAGGUAGCCAAAUGCUCGUCAUCUAAUUAGUGACGCGCAUAAAUGGAUUAACGAGAUUCCCACUGUCCCUGUCUACUAUCCAGCGAAACCACAGCCAAGGGACGGGCUUGGCGGAAUCAGGCGGGAAAGAAGACCCUGUUGAGUUGACUCUAGUCCGAUUUUGUGAAAUGAUUUGAGAGGUGUAGGAUAAGUGGGAGCCCUCACGGGCGCAAGUGAAAUACCACUACUUUUAACGUUAUUUUAUUAUUCCGUGGGUCGGAAGCGGGGCAUGUCCUCCUUUUGGCUCCAAGGCCCGGUCUUACCGGGCCGAUCCGGGGGAAGAACAGGACCGUUACACGGACCCGUGAAUGGGCGGUACAUGGACACGGGAGAAAAGUGGCCGAUGCCCGUCGUGGACGGAACCGGACGCGCGCCAUGGAAAACUGGGCAAAACCACGUACGAGGCACACACACGUACACAGACCCUUACACGGACCCAUGAACGGGUUGUACGUGGACACGGGAAAAAAGCGGUCGACGCCCGUCGUGGACGGAACGGGACGCGCGCCAUGGAAAACAUGGCAAAACCACGUACGAGGCACACACAUGUUGUCACGCCCAAUAUGCUACCCUAUCCGAGAGGAACUCGAAGGUCCCACCAAGGAUAGACCCGC
Molecule: ribosomal RNA, 3248 nt
Filed under: Aegilops tauschii
Lineage: Eukaryota; Viridiplantae; Streptophyta; Magnoliopsida; Poales; Poaceae
Description: eukaryotic LSU rRNA
Rfam family: Eukaryotic large subunit ribosomal RNA (bases 371-3248)
Source: RNAcentral